AUUGAACGCUGGCGGCAUGCCUUACACAUGCAAGUCGAACGGCAGCACGGGAGCAAUCCUGGUGGCGAGUGGCGAACGGGUGAGUAAAGUAUCGGAACGUGCCCAGUCGUGGGGGAUAACGUAGCGAAAGUUACGCUAAUACCGCAUACGAUCUAUGGAUGAAAGCGGGGGAUCGCAAAACCUCGCGCGACUGGAGCGGCCGAUAUCAGAUUAGGGAGUUGGUGGGGUAAAGGCUAACCAAGCCGACGAUCUGUAGCUGGUUUGAGAGGACGACCAGCCACACUGGGACUGAGACACGGCCCAGACUCCUACGGGAGGCAGCAGUGGGGAAUUUUGGACAAUGGGCGAAAGCCUGAUCCAGCCAUGCCGCGUGCAGGAUGAAGGCCUUCGGGUUGUAAACUGCUUUUGUACGGAACGAAAAGGUUUGGCCUAAUAAGCUGAGCUCAUGACGGUACCGUAAGAAUAAGCACCGGCUAACUACGUGCCAGCAGCCGCAGUAA
Molecule: ribosomal RNA, 500 nt
Filed under: uncultured bacterium
Lineage: Bacteria
Description: partial 16S ribosomal RNA
Rfam family: Bacterial small subunit ribosomal RNA
Source: RNAcentral